GUUGUCAGUCCUUGCAGAACAAAAUAGCAGCACCUCACUAGUCAUAAAACAUCAUCAUCAAGUUGCAUAUUGUUUUUUGUCCACAUGUAGUUAAUUGUACCAUAUUAGUUCAUCUUUAAACUCCUCUGCUUGUCUAAUCUCUAUAACAUAUGCAUAUUUCAUGGUACUUCGGGCAGCAACACUCUUACCUUUAUCAUUUUCAUCCUAUAACAGACAACAGACUCUUCUAUACUGGCCCCAGCAUGCAGUAUAUGCGCCUGGUCGUGUUUUCAGAGGAGGAGAAGAAGGCUGUGCUAAUGGAGUGCCACAACAACCCUGGUACUGGGAAUCAUAAUGGUGCCAGAAGUACCCGAAACAGGGUUGUUGCUGGCUACUACUGGCCAACCAUGAUCAAGGACACCAAUGAAUGGGUCAGAUGUUGUCAUCGCUGCCAGAUGAAUGACCCAAUUAAGACCAUAGCACCAGCUUUACAUCCCAUCAAGGUUAAAGAACCUUGGGAGGUGCUAGGGAUGGAUUUAAUUGGACCGCUCCCGGAAACAGGUCGAGGGAACCAGUAUAUCCUGACCAUGACUGACUUGUACACCAAGUGGGU
This is a long non-coding RNA of Salarias fasciatus (jewelled blenny), 592 nucleotides long. RefSeq lists it as uncharacterized. The transcript is spliced from 3 exons. The record is from RefSeq and is a predicted model, not a curated record. NCBI's taxonomy places the organism in Eukaryota, Metazoa, Chordata, Actinopteri, Blenniiformes, Blenniidae.